This 67-nucleotide transfer RNA is filed under the name Marmota monax (woodchuck). RNAcentral describes it as "tRNA.Ala". Lineage: Eukaryota; Metazoa; Chordata; Mammalia; Rodentia; Sciuridae. The record is from RNAcentral.
GGUUGUGACUCAGUGGAACAGCACUUGCCUAGCACAUGCAAGGCCCUGGGUUCGAUUCUCAGCACCA